CCUGGGCUGAGGCCAGGAUUGUACUGUGCUAACAGAGAAUUAAAAAUACAGCCCUGUUGUAUACCCCCUGCCUUCCACAAGCUUGCUCGCAGUGUGUUCCCUGUUAACACUUUCUAUGAAAACUGGCCAGAUCCCCUUCUCAAAACCAACGGGACUUCUCAGUGCCAGCAGAGCUUACAUCCACAUGAGCUGCACAGAUGGACGAGUUCAGUGCACCUCCUUGAUGCCAACAUGCGCGAAGGAAAAGUCACUUUUUACUUUCCCAGCAGAUACUGCUUUCCUGGGGUGGGGGGGACACCUGGCAGGUACCCACGCCUUCCUCUGGCCACAGAACGCCUCUGCCAGCAAUGAGGAGGAAGAGGAGAGAGGGGGCGGCUUCAAGGAGGAUUUGGAGGAGUUGCAGUUCUUGCAAGGCCAGUACCACGCUGAAGAAAAAAGGCCUGGAAGGUCCUGUACAUAAGGCAGACUUCUUCUCCCCCUCCCUAUCAGCCUCAAGGUUUCUGGGCACUGGGCUGACUACUCCUCUCCUUACCACCCUUGAAGGUCCCACGCACCCAGAAAACCAGGCAGUGAUGACCCUAUCACAGAAGAGGGAAGUGAAGCAGCACACAGAGCACUGUCUAUAAAAUCAAGCAGUUGCAAAUCCUAAGUGGGACUUGGCCACAACUGCUGCUGGACAGCAAAACCUAUGAUCUUUCAGUGGUCAGGGGUGCCUCCACUAUCAUGUACUUCCUCCAAGGAUUGAGUGAGUGACUUGUGUUCUUUCAUGUGUUUCAAGUUUAUAUUGUGACUGUUAUAUUGAUACUGCAAGCCAAGUAUGAAGAUUUAACCCAAUCUGCAGAGGGUUCAGGUGACUAGGAACCCAAAGCUAACCUGUGUUACAAAUUGUGUGCUAUGCUACUUAUAAAAUCGUGCUACACUGAUUCUGAUUAUAAAAAUCCUAUGCUAUUUUGGCCAUAAAAUUGUAUGCAUGCUGUAAAAUUCUGUUAAAAAAGCAAAGCUUUAAUUGUAACUACAACUUAGUGCUGUCAUCAUUCUGUCCAGGAUCCCCAUGGGUGACAAAACCCCGUUCACAUAAAAUUUCUCCUUGUCCAACUGGGAAUAAAUCAUCUAGAAGUCCCA
RNAcentral lists this long non-coding RNA (1122 nucleotides) under Calidris pygmaea (Spoon-billed sandpiper). Its description in RNAcentral is "lncRNA (ENSCPGG00000000965.1)". Lineage: Eukaryota; Metazoa; Chordata; Aves; Charadriiformes; Scolopacidae. The record is from RNAcentral.